AGCCCCUUAGUGUAGCGGUCCAUCAUGUGAGACUCUGGAUCUCGCGACGGCGGUUCAAAUCCGCCAGGGGCUACCA
Molecule: transfer RNA, 76 nt
Filed under: Methanobacteriota archaeon
Lineage: Archaea; Methanobacteriati; Methanobacteriota
Description: Euryarchaeota archaeon tRNA-Gln
Rfam family: tRNA
About the family: Transfer RNA (tRNA) molecules are approximately 80 nucleotides in length. Their secondary structure includes four short double-helical elements and three loops (D, anti-codon, and T loops).
Source: RNAcentral